GUCGGAGUGGCGGAACUGGUAGACGCGCUAGGUUGAGGGCCUAGUGGGCUAAUAGCUCGUGGAGGUUCGAGUCCUCUCUCCGACA
Molecule: transfer RNA, 85 nt
Filed under: Acidimicrobiia bacterium
Lineage: Bacteria; Bacillati; Actinomycetota; Acidimicrobiia
Description: tRNA-Leu
Rfam family: tRNA
About the family: Transfer RNA (tRNA) molecules are approximately 80 nucleotides in length. Their secondary structure includes four short double-helical elements and three loops (D, anti-codon, and T loops).
Source: RNAcentral